CAGUAGCCACGGUAAUACGGAGGGAGCUAGCGUUAAUCGGAAUUACUGGGCGUAAAGCGUGCGCAGGCGGUUUUGUAAGACAGGCGUGAAAUCCCCGGGCUUAACCUGGGAAUGGCGCUUGUGACUGCAAGGCUAGAGUGCGUCAGAGGGGGGUAGAAUUCCACGUGUAGCAGUGAAAUGCGUAGAGAUGUGGAGGAAUACCGAUGGCGAAGGCAGCCCCCUGGGACGAGACUGACGCUCAUGCACGAAAGCGUGGGGAGCAAACAGGAUUAGAUACCCGCGUAGUCCCUGUCUCUUAACC
RNAcentral lists this ribosomal RNA (301 nucleotides) under uncultured bacterium. Its description in RNAcentral is "partial 16S ribosomal RNA". It matches the Rfam family "Bacterial small subunit ribosomal RNA", at positions 509 to 808 of the family's 1533-position model. The record is from RNAcentral.